UCUCUCUCUCUCAUGAAUAAAUAAAUAAAAUCUUUAAAAAAUAAUAAAUUGGUUUUGAAAAAUAUUUUUGAAUCACCUAUAUAUCAGGCCACACAAAAGUAUUAAUACUGUAAAAGUAUGUGAAGGGUCUUUACCCCUGUCUUUGAGGAUACUUUUUUAUGUUUAGUGAGUUCAUAAAGGUCCCAAGAGUUCUUGUGUGAAGCUUUGUUGCAUUGAGGAUGAAAACAUCAAAAUCUGCUUAGGGUUUUUGGGUAUGUUUAUGAGGCUAAUUUCCUUUUAUGUAGCUUGCUUUUGAGUUGUUAUAAUUGAGCCAGUAGGUGUGUCGAUUAUUAAACUAAACCUCGCUUAUUACAUUAGUGGUUGUACUUGCUAUGCUGGCCACAGACUUGGGAGUUUGCUGUUAUGGAAAAUCCUCAAAGCUUUUGAGUUGGGACCAGUAGUUCCUGUUGCUCCUUUUCAGGAAAGAAAGAUUUGUCUGGCUCAAGGGGCUGCAAGCUGUGAUCUUUACUGAGCAAGUUGAGUCAGUUUCCCAUCCAAAAGACCACACUCACUAAAAGAUGCAGCCAUAAAAUAGAAUAUAAAAUUCUAAGCUUAUUUUUAGUCGUUUGUUUUAGUAUCAAAAGGCAGGAGGCACUUCCAGUUUAAAGAGUUGCUGCACACACCAUCUGGACAAUGUCAAAUUAAGGAAGACUGCAGGCUCCGGAGAGGCCUGCCUUCUGAGGAUCAUACCUUGUGGCACCAAUUAAGGGAUUUGGGGUUGGGUUGCUUGCAUACUAUGUUUAUGAGGCUCAUUUCCCACAAUCAUGGAGCUUGGGUAACCCAUAUUGUUCCUCCAGCUCCAAGCCAUGAUUCGUCUUUUAGAAUGAGAAAGCUAGUUAAAGGGAGCUUUCAGGAAUUGAGAGAGAGAAAGCAUGAGCCUGGGCUUUAUUUGCUGUUGCUGACACUAUUUAAUACAAAUGAAACCCGUGUAAGUAACAAAUUCUUCACAUAAUGGAAGGAAUAGCCUUGAUCAGAGGGAGCACUGCAAUGAGUGGGAUGAAUAGGAUACACGUCUGCCUCUUCACUGUGACCUGGCGCAAAUCUUUCCAUGCUUCCAAUUCCUCAUCUGUAGACUGUGAAUAACAAUAUGCUCUCAAGGGUAGCAGUGAGGUUUAGAGAUAGUGACUGUGACUUGCACCACACAGUACCUGUAGAUGGCAAGUACUAAAUACCUGCCGUUACAAUUUGUAACACACUUCCGAAUGUUUUCUUUCUGCUGUGCCUCCUAUGUCUGGCUUUCCGUAGGGACCAACCUAGAUACCCCUCUCAUGCCCUCGGAGAACUCUAUCCCACUGUAAUAUUAGCACAUAUGCCAUAUAUCAUUGAAGACUCCAUAGAGAAGUGUAUAUAGGAGAGUGUUUCACAUUAUCUACCUCUAGGGCAUAUGCACAGCUGGCACGCACGUGAAUGGAUGUCCAGUGUAAAAAUACUGAAAUGCCUCCAAACUGCUUGGUAAAUAACUGCUGUUCCAAGCCUCACCUUCCAGCAGCCCCCUCUGUCUCCCCAGCCUUUGCCAUGGAAAUUCCUGACUCUCUCCUAGGCACCACCAUGCUCCAGCAAAUAAAGGGCUGAUGUCUAGCACAGCUGGAGGCCUUGGAAAAAAACAAUCUACUUGGGGUUUUUGGGUAUGUUUAUGAGGCUAAUUUCCUCUUAUGUAGCUUGCUUUUGAGUUGUUAUAAUUGAGCCAGCGGGUGUGUUGAUUAAUUGCUCUGCUCCAGAGCUAUGGCUGGUUGGUAGCUGUUCUUAUUAAUUGGUGACUGUGCAGUCGGCCUCUCCUCCAAACAAGUGAUGUCAUUGUUAACAUGGGAUGUAUCAUCCAUUUCUCUCUUCACCCUAUAGAGUGGGUUCUGUGUGCAGGCUGCUGUAUUGUGGGAAUACUGAUCAUGGACAUGGUUAUACAUACUUGAAUCAGCCACAGCUCCCUGUAGACAACAGUAGCACAAGUGUAGAAGGAGAAAUUGGAAGUGUAUUGUUGUAAGGGCCUCACUCUAUAUGCAUAAUAUUUGAAUACAGACUAUGGUAAGUGAAUGUAUAUAAUAAACCCCAAGAAGCCACUAAAUAAAUAAAACAGGAAUAGCUAAUCAGCCAUAGUAGAGAGGAAACAGAAUCAUUA
Molecule: long non-coding RNA, 2152 nt
Filed under: Canis lupus familiaris (dog)
Lineage: Eukaryota; Metazoa; Chordata; Mammalia; Carnivora; Canidae
Description: lncRNA (ENSCAFG00000051092.1)
Source: RNAcentral